Molecule: ribosomal RNA, 435 nt
Filed under: uncultured bacterium
Lineage: Bacteria
Description: partial 16S ribosomal RNA
Rfam family: Bacterial small subunit ribosomal RNA
Source: RNAcentral
GAUGAACGCUGGCGGUAUGCUUAACACAUGCAAGUCGAACGGACUCUUCGGAGUUAGUGGCGGACGGGUGAGUAACGCGUGAGAAUCUGGCUUUGGGUUCGGGACAACCACUGGAAACGGUGGCUAAUACCGGAUGUGCCGAGAGGUAAAAGAGAAAUUGCCUGAAGAUGAGCUCGCGUCUGAUUAGCUAGUUGGUGAGGUAAAGGCUCACCAAGGCAGCGAUCAGUAGCUGGUCUGAGAGGAUGACCAGCCACACUGGGACUGAGGCACGGCCCAGACUCCUACGGGAGGCAGCAGUGGGGAAUUUUCCGCAAUGGGCGAAAGCCUGACGGAGCAAUACCGCGUGAGGGAAGAAGGCUCUUGGGUUGUAAACCUCUUUUCUUAGGGAAGAACAAAAUGACGGUACCUAAGGAAUCAGCAUCGGCUAACUCCGUG